Molecule: non-coding RNA, 30 nt
Filed under: Rattus norvegicus (Norway rat)
Lineage: Eukaryota; Metazoa; Chordata; Mammalia; Rodentia; Muridae
Source: RNAcentral
UCUAAAAUGAAUAAAUAAAUGGGAAAAGAU